Molecule: non-coding RNA, 560 nt
Organism: Taeniopygia guttata (zebra finch)
Lineage: Eukaryota; Metazoa; Chordata; Aves; Passeriformes; Estrildidae
Source: RefSeq, a predicted model, not a curated record
CGCCCUCCGCAAGGUGCAGCUGAGCCACAGCUGGGGCAGGGUCACUGAGGGAGAACAAAGUCAAGAAAGGGCAAAACAUGACACAGAAGAUUCUGAGGAAAAAGAGGAACAACCCCAUGAGCAGCAAGGGAAAGUACGUACGGAAUGGACGUCAUUGGUGCAGAUGCUCAGCAGUUUGACAGCUAAACUGAGCAGGAAAUGAAAUAGAUGACUGCCAGGACAUUCAAUUGUUCAUACCAUGGACUGGAACAGCAAGAAUGACAGAAGGGAAUUCCAGCAAGUCAACUGUUCAAUUGCACAACUGGGACCCAUUUGGCAACCAGUCUUAAUCACUACCCUUACUCUCCCAGUCACAUCAAAGAACUGCUCAGUUUACAGUCUAAUUCCUAUCACACAUUCAGCAGCCCAUCCUACUUUAGGGUUUUCUUUCACCUGGCUAUAUAACCUUACAAUAUUUCUGAAAAGUCCCAUGUUGUGAAAAAAAAGUGCUACCCAACAUAAAUCCCAUCAGAUCAGUGAUUAUGUUCCUUCUGAUAAACCAAGACCAUGUGACAAUAAAA